ACGUAGGUGGCGAGCGUUAUCCGGAAUCAUUGGGCGUAAAGAGGGAGCAGGCGGCAACUAGGGUCUGCGGUAAAAGACCGAAGCUAAACUUCGGUAAGCCGUGGAAACCGAGGAGCUAGAGUGCAGUAGAGGAUCGUGGAAUUCCAUGUGUAGCGGUGAAAUGCGUAGAUAUAUGGAGGAACACCAGUGGCGAAGGCGACGAUCUGGGCUGCAACUGACGCUCAGUCCCGAAAGCGUGGGGAGCAAAUAG
This 250-nucleotide ribosomal RNA is filed under the name uncultured bacterium. RNAcentral describes it as "partial 16S ribosomal RNA". It matches the Rfam family "Bacterial small subunit ribosomal RNA", at positions 525 to 775 of the family's 1533-position model. The record is from RNAcentral.